AUGGAUGGGGCUGAGGCUAACCAUCAAGAUCAGGAAGAAACGACGCAGCUUCAUCCUAAUGAUCUUGGUCAACUGGAAGAUGAGAAAGAACCGCACCGAGAUCGUUGUGUUGGUGAGGGAUCCGCACCAAAGUGUAAGAAACUAAAGAUGCAUAGUCAUAACUUGCCUAUUCAAUUCCCAUCCAUGCUUUUCACAAACCACUUUGAUAACCUAAUCCGACGUCGUGAGGUGCAAAACAUCCCUCGUGCACAAAUGCAGAGAGGAAAGACGGUUGGGGUACCAGCAACUAUGAGAUUCUACAGGCACAACAACAUACUAGCAUGUUGGUGCACUUUGAUUAACCAAAUAAAUCAGUUGAUGGAGAUGGUCGUGAAGCAUAUCCAAGCAUGCGACAAGAAGCCACCACCACCUUCAAAGGACCAGGCAUGA
This 429-nucleotide ribosomal RNA is filed under the name Triticum aestivum (bread wheat). RNAcentral describes it as "partial small subunit ribosomal RNA". Lineage: Eukaryota; Viridiplantae; Streptophyta; Magnoliopsida; Poales; Poaceae. The record is from RNAcentral.